AUGGUGACCCUGGGCUGCCUUGCACGUGACUUCCUGCCGAGCACCGUCACCUUCUCCUGGAACUUUAAGAACACCACUGGCAUCAAUGCCCAGAACUUGAAGACAUACCCAUCCGUCCUGCGACAGGGAAAGUAUGUGGCCAGCUCUCAGGUGUUCCUUCCCUCUGAAGAAGUCUUCCAGGGCGCCGAUGAGUAUCUGUUGUGCAGAGUCAAGCAUUCCAAUGGCAACAAGGAACUGACUGUGCCCCUUCCAGUGAAAGCCGAAGAGCAGGUCCCCACUGUGAAUGUCUACAUCCCACCCCGAGAUGCCUUCUCUGGUUCCAGCCAGCGUACCUCCAAGCUCAUCUGCCAGGCCACAGGCUUCAGUCCCAAGCAGAUCUCUCUGACCUGGCUGCAAGAUGGGAAAGUGGUGCAGUCGGGCGUCAACACGGGUGAAGUUGAGCCUGAGCCCAGCUGGUCUCAGUCACGGACCUUCCAGAUCUCCAGCAUUCUGACCAUCAGUGAGAGCGAAUGGCUCAGCCAGAGCGUGUUCACCUGCUACGUGAAGCACAGUGGCCUGGAUAUAUUGAAGAACGUGUCCUCUAUGUGUGGAGUCAAGGGGGAAGUCAACGCCGAGGAGGAGGGCUUCGAGAACUUGUGGGCCAUGGCCUCCACCUUUAUUGUGCUUUUCCUCCUGAGCCUUUUCUACAGCACCACAGUCACCCUGUUCAAGGUGAAGUGA
Molecule: non-coding RNA, 720 nt
Organism: Orycteropus afer afer
Lineage: Eukaryota; Metazoa; Chordata; Mammalia; Tubulidentata; Orycteropodidae
Source: the annotation of a RefSeq genome assembly